AGAGUUUGAUCCUGGCUCAGAACGAACGCUAGCGGCGUGGAUAAGACAUGCAAGUCGGACGGGCCUCCAGCAAUGGGGGCCAGUGGCGGACGGGUGCGUAACACGUGGGCAACAUGCCCGGAGGAGGGGGAUAGCCCGGGGAAACCCGGAUUAAUACCGCAUGUGGAGGCCGGCGGCAUCGCCGGUUUUCAAAGGAGGGGACCGCAAGGCCCUCCGCCUCCGGAUUGGCCCGCGGCCUAUCAGCUUGUUGGCGGGGUAACGGCCCACCAAGGCGACGACGGGUAGCUGGUCUGAGAGGAUGGCCAGCCACAUUGGAACUGAGACACGGUCCAGACACCUACGGGUGGCAGCAGUCGAGAAUCAUUCACAAUGGGCGAAAGCCUGAUGGUGUGACGCCGCGUGGGGGAUGAAGGUCUUCGGAUUGUAAACUCCUGUCAUCCGUGAGCAAAGCCGUGCGGGUAAUAUCCGCGCGGUCUGAUAUUAGCGGAAGAGGAAGGGACGGCUAACUCUGUGCCAGCAGCCGCGGUAAUACAGAGGUCCCAAGCGUUGUUCGGAAUCACUGGGCGUAAAGGGUGCGCAGGCGGCCCGCCAAGUCGGAUGUGAAAGACCGGGGCUCAACCCCGGAACGGCGUCCGAUACUGGCGGGCUCGAGGGUUUGAGGGGAGUCGGGAAUUCACGGUGUAGCGGUGAAAUGCGUGGAUAUCGUGAGGAAGACCGGUGGCGAAGGCGCGACUCUGGAAAACUCCUGACGCUGAGGCACGAAGGCCAGGGGAGCGAACGGGAUUAGAUACCCCUGUAGUCC
Molecule: ribosomal RNA, 802 nt
Filed under: uncultured bacterium
Lineage: Bacteria
Description: bacterial SSU rRNA
Rfam family: Bacterial small subunit ribosomal RNA
Source: RNAcentral